Molecule: non-coding RNA, 24 nt
Filed under: Arabidopsis thaliana (thale cress)
Lineage: Eukaryota; Viridiplantae; Streptophyta; Magnoliopsida; Brassicales; Brassicaceae
Source: RNAcentral
AUCCGUCCAAACACCAAAAUCUCC